This 253-nucleotide ribosomal RNA is filed under the name uncultured bacterium. Its description in RNAcentral is "partial 16S ribosomal RNA". It matches the Rfam family "Bacterial small subunit ribosomal RNA", at positions 524 to 776 of the family's 1533-position model. The record is from RNAcentral.
UACGUAGGGACCAAGCGUUGUUCGGAUUUACUGGGCGUAAAGGGCGCGUAGGCGGCGUGUUAAGUCAGCUGUGAAAUCUCCAAGCUUAACUUGGAACGGUCAGCUGAUACUGAUGUGCUAGAGUGCAGAAGGGGCAACUGGAAUUCUUGGUGUAGCAGUGAAAUGCGUAGAUAUCAAGAGGAACACCAGUGGCGAAGGCGAGUCCCUGGACAACACCUGACACUGAGGCACGAAAGCUAGGGGAGCAAACAGG